GUGUUGUCUGAAAGGAGAGAAGGCUAGCACUCCCCCUGACAGGGUGGAAGAGGCUCUCGGGCUUAACAACACUGAUACAGUGAAGGCAUUGCUGCCUACUUUAUGGCAUCUGACCAUCAUUUUAA
This 125-nucleotide non-coding RNA is filed under the name Myotis brandtii (Brandt's bat). Lineage: Eukaryota; Metazoa; Chordata; Mammalia; Chiroptera; Vespertilionidae. The record is from RNAcentral.